Molecule: long non-coding RNA, 478 nt
Organism: Photinus pyralis (common eastern firefly)
Lineage: Eukaryota; Metazoa; Arthropoda; Insecta; Coleoptera; Lampyridae
Exons: 3
Source: RefSeq, a predicted model, not a curated record
CUUACCAUUUCUCAAUGUUGAUCCCUUAGAGUUAUCGAAAAUCCUGAUUACAAUCCCGAGACACGAGAAGCAAAGCUCGACGAGAACGAGGAGACGAAUCACACGCUUCAUAAGCCAAGAGAGAGUUUCAAUGCAUCUACUACCAUUCUGUCAGCGCUAUACGGGAAACUGUUAGUUAUCCUAGGAAUUGCAAUUCCGAUCACAGACACAAUUUCACCGGACGCAAAUUUUUCGUUCUACCAAGGCUUUUAUUUGUAUUUAUACUUCGGAAGCAUCGGUUUCGUUGCUUAUAUGUACAUUACGUUAGUAAAGGAGAAGGCAAUCUUUUCCAUCAUGAAAGCAUAUCGCAAAGAAAGUAGAAGCUUUAUCAAGAAGAAUACACUGUCUGUGGGGCGGUUGUGGCAUUCUAAAGCUGAGCGAUACGGAAGUCUGUACCUGAGACUGGGAGCGAUCGGUGAGUACUCCUUUUUGGAUGAGG